UACGGAGGGUGCGAGCGUUGUCCGGAAUCACUGGGCGUAAAGGGCGGGUAGGCGGCGCGGGUAGUCAACGGUGAAAGCUUGGGGCUCAACCCCGAGUCGGCCGUCGAUACUCCCGUGCUUGAGCACUGUAGAGGCAGGUGGAAUUCCGGGUGUAGCGGUGGAAUGCGUAGAGAUCCGGAAGAACACCGGUGGCGAAGGCGGCCUGCUGGGCAGUAGCUGACGCUGAGGCGCGACAGCGUGGGGAGCAAACAGG
This 253-nucleotide ribosomal RNA is filed under the name uncultured bacterium. Its description in RNAcentral is "partial 16S ribosomal RNA". It matches the Rfam family "Bacterial small subunit ribosomal RNA", at positions 524 to 776 of the family's 1533-position model. The record is from RNAcentral.